UACGUAGGGGGCAAGCGUUAUCCGGAAUCAUUGGGCGUAAAGCGCGUGUAGGCGGUUCCGUAAGUCCGCUCUGAAAGCCCAGGGCUCAACCCUGGGAGGCGGGUGGAUACUACGGAACUGGAGUACGGAAGAGGAGAUUGGAAUUCCUGGUGUAGCGGUGAAAUGCGCAGAUAUCAGGAGGAACACCAACAGCGAAGGCAGAUCUCUGGGACGUUACUGACGCUGAGACGCGAAAGCAUGGGGAGCGAACAGG
This 253-nucleotide ribosomal RNA is filed under the name uncultured bacterium. RNAcentral's name for it is "partial 16S ribosomal RNA". It matches the Rfam family "Bacterial small subunit ribosomal RNA", at positions 524 to 776 of the family's 1533-position model. The record is from RNAcentral.